This is a long non-coding RNA of Raphanus sativus (radish), 1538 nucleotides long. RefSeq lists it as uncharacterized. Lineage: Eukaryota; Viridiplantae; Streptophyta; Magnoliopsida; Brassicales; Brassicaceae. The transcript has 6 exons. The record is from RefSeq and is a predicted model, not a curated record.
AUAAACAAAAAGUCUUUUUCUUCGAUCUCUGAACAGCCAUGGCCUUAUGUCUUCUCUUCAGAUAAACGAAACGUUUCUCCUAAUUGAUUCAUCCCUUUAUCAUGCUUCUCAACAACAUCACCCCUCUUCGAACACGAUCUGUUUAGAGAAAGCUAAGAUAUCAGCAUGAUGCCAAUACCUUGGAGGCUUGGAGCGAUGGUGAUCUUCCUGCCUAAACCAAUCUGCUUUCUCUGCGUUCCCAUCCCUGCUUUCGCUGGUAACUUGCUUAGCCUUAGGAAAUAGUGCGUGCUCUGAGGUCCCAGAAGAGUCCACUACAACCAACCUUAAUCGGUCUCCUCUGAUAACUGAUUUCCUGAGAAAGUUUUGCCCAGCUGAGUUUGAUUGUCUUAAUGGAGACUGAAAUGAUGGAGGUUUGACGCAGUACGCGUACUUCAUGGAAGACUCGCCAUAAAGAAUAAGGGGAUGGAUCACAGAAACCAGGCCUGCUAAAAUCAAAGCUAAGUUAAAAUCAAGAAACAUAUUUUAGCUCCAGGCUCUUUGCUUUGUUUUACUUCAUUUUCUACUAUUUCUAAUUAUCGUUUCUGAGUAUGCAGGCAGGAUAACACGCUAGAUUGAGAUGCUUCUGUAAACAAGUUUUACAUACAAUAACUUUAAAGUUCUACAAGGCUAUGUCUUGACUGAGCCGGCGGCUAUAGUUGCUUCUAUUUUUGCUGAAGAAGAGACUGGUUUGUUUUCUCCAGAUGUGGAGGCUAAGAUUGUGGAUCCGGAUGUGGGUCGUGUCUUGGGGGUUGAUCAGACUGGCAUGGCGAGCUCUGGUUCCAGAGUCCUACCGUGAUGAACGGUGUUUGUUUCUUCUUGAAAAGGUUAUUUCAAGAACGAAGAAGCUACUGCUUUUACUAUUGAUUCAGAAGGAAGGUUGAGACUGGAGUUUUGUGUUACAUUGACAGUGAAGGUUUUGUCUUUGUUGUUGAUAGAUUAAAGGAGCUAAUCUACUGCAAUGCUUUUUAUCUACUGCAAUGCUUAUCAGAACUUAUAAAUUUGAUUAGGUUAGAAGCAGUGUUGUUAACUCAUCCAGAGAUUACUGAUGCAGCAGUAAUACCGUCAGGGCUUGCUUUAAAACUUGCUUUAUUCCUUAUUGUUUUUGAAGUAUCCCUGCAAUAAAGCUGGGCAAUAUCCAAUGGAAUAUAGUGAGGACAGCUGGAAACAACUUAUCCGAAAGUGGAAUCAUGAGCUUAGUCGCAAAGCAAGUUUUUUCAACCAUGCAGACCAUGUUUGUAACUAAUCCAGUCGUGGUUCCUUAUAUUUAUUCUGAGUUUUGUUUGGAUUGCUUAGGUAUCUCCAUAGAAGAGGAUACGUAAGGUCACAUUUUUGUCUUCAAACCCCAAAAAUCCCUCUGGCAAAAUUAUAAGAAAAGAACUUAUAAAGCUCACAACCUCAAAGCUCUAGCAGGAAGAUGUGUCCACCAGCUUUACCUCACACUUCACCAUUAGUUAAUUCAUUUAUUUGGUUUAUUUUAAAACUAAUAUAAAAAUAAUUUU